UGCCAGACUCCUACGGGAGGCAGCAGUGGGGGAUAUUGCACAAUGGGGGAAACCCUGAUGCAGCGACGCCGCGUGAGUGAAGAAGUAUUUCGGUAUGUAAAGCUCUAUCAGCAGGGAAGAAAAAAGACGGUACCUGACUAAGAAGCCCCGGCUAACUACGUGCCAGCAGCCGCGGUAAUACGUAGGGGGCAAGCGUUAUCCGGAUUUACUGGGUGUAAAGGGCGUGCAGCCGGGAAGACAAGUCAGAUGUGAAAUCCCGCGGCUCAACCGCGGAACUGCAUUUGAAACUGUUUUUCUUGAGUAUCGGAGAGGUAAUCGGAAUUCCUAGUGUAGCGGUGAAAUGCGUAGAUAUUAGGAAGAACACCAGUGGCGAAGGCGGAUUACUGGACGACAACUGACGGUGAGGCGCGAAAGCGUGGGGAGCAAACAGGAUUAGAUACCCGGGUAA
Molecule: ribosomal RNA, 448 nt
Filed under: uncultured bacterium
Lineage: Bacteria
Description: bacterial SSU rRNA
Rfam family: Bacterial small subunit ribosomal RNA
Source: RNAcentral